UUCCGCAAUGGACGAAAGUCUGACGGAGCAACGCCGCGUGAGUGAUGAAGGCUUUCGGGUCGUAAAACUCUGUUGUUAGGGAAGAACAAGUGCUAGUUGAAUAAGCUGGCACCUUGACGGUACCUAACCAGAAAGCCACGGCUAACUACGUGCCAGCAGCCGCGGUAAUACGUAGGUGGCAAGCGUUAUCCGGAAUUAUUGGGCGUAAAGCGCGCGCAGGUGGUUUCUUAAGUCUGAUGUGAAAGCCCACGGCUCAACCGUGGAGGGUCAUUGGAAACUGGGAGA
RNAcentral lists this ribosomal RNA (285 nucleotides) under Bacillus thuringiensis. RNAcentral's name for it is "partial 16S ribosomal RNA". It matches the Rfam family "Bacterial small subunit ribosomal RNA", at positions 364 to 640 of the family's 1533-position model. Lineage: Bacteria; Bacillati; Bacillota; Bacilli; Caryophanales; Bacillaceae. The record is from RNAcentral.